This is a long non-coding RNA of Mercenaria mercenaria, 6103 nucleotides long. RefSeq lists it as uncharacterized. NCBI's taxonomy places the organism in Eukaryota, Metazoa, Mollusca, Bivalvia, Venerida, Veneridae. The record is from RefSeq and is a predicted model, not a curated record. The transcript is spliced from 2 exons.
AAUCCUAUUGUAGUUAGAGAAACAGCGAACAGCAUGGAUCCUGACCAGACUGCGCGGAUGCACAGGCUGGUCUGGAUCCAUGCUGGUCGCAAAGCCACUAUGUUGGUUUUCUCAUGCCGUGGCUCAUAUAAAAUGUUCAUCACGUCAGUGUCUUCUUUAACAUAUAACCAUGCAUUUGUUAACACUUAUGUAAAAUUUAUCAUUUGCUUUAGCUUUUUCCAUAUUGGUUAAUAUAUAGUUGAAUCUGCUUUAAUGGCCAUUUGUAUUAGUUAACUUUAUAAAAUCAACAUUUUGUUCUAAUUUCAACUUGUCUUAAGCAGCCAUUUGCCUUAACCUUUAGCCUGCUGGCAGCAAGUGAUUUUGCCUUUGCAACCAGUGCAGACCCAAGAUCAGUCUGCUAUUCAGUCAGUGAGUUUUCAGUGAACAACAACUUUGAAUAACAAGUGGUACUGCCAAAAUUGAAUGAUAGACCAGUCCAUUUUAGAAAUAAAGGUUAAGCAGCAAGUUACACCCUUGGCUGGCUGCUUAAUAGAGGUGUUACUGUAUUUGUAUUAUUAGAUUAUGUUUUUAGUAAAAUAAGACAUAGACCAUGUGAGAUUAUUUAUUACAUAUACACGUUACCAUAAAUCAUGAGCAGUUCAGAAAAUCAUUGAAAUCAAAUAUAUGAUAAGAGUCAUAGAUAUACUACGUGUCAUCUUUAGACGUAAUAUAAUAUAUAUAUAAUAGCCAGUGUAAGUGCAAUAUCUAUUGUUUUAGUUAUAUUUUUUUUAUAUAACACUUUUGUAAGUUUUUAGCUUAGAACUUCCAUUUAUAGUUUUAGAAUAUACUCCGUGUCCUUGUAAGAAAGAAUCACGAACUUGUAAUCAUGUUUAGAGAACAGACGAGCUGCAUCAGGGUAAAAUGUACUUUUGUUUUAUGGGUUUCUUUUUGAUUUCCAAGAAUUUAAGUUCUUCAUGUCAUAUUUCAAAGAACAGUUAUCAAAGAACAGUUAUCAUAAUUUGAGCCGCGCCAUGAGAAAACCAACAUAGUGCGUUUGCGACCAGCAUGGAUCCAGACUAGCCUGCGCAUCCGCGUCUGGUCAGGAUCCAUGCUGUUCGCUAAUGGUUUCUCUAAUUCCAAUAGGCUUUGAAAGUGAACAGCAUGGAUCUUGACCAGACUGCGCGGAUGCGCAGGCUGGUCUGGAUCCAUGCUGGUCGCAAACGCACUAUGUUGGUUUUCCCAUGGCGUGGCUCAUUUAUAUUUGUUGGGGAUUAACUUGUGGAUCUCAUGGAUGCAUCCAUUCAUAGAAUAUUAAGUCCCAGAGAACAAUUAAAAUACUGUUAGUUUUAUCUCUGAAAGUAUGAAAUCUACAAAUUCAACCCCAGUGAAAUCACAGUUUAAGACCAAACCACAAAAUUUCACUACAGCAUAAUUAAUUGAUUUCACAGUAAAAGGAAAGAUAAAACUGAAUUGUAUGCUGAAAUUGAAAGGUAUUUGAUGUUUACAACAGAACAAUAACUUUACAUCAAUAAUUUCCGGUACCUUUUGCCACAACUAUGUUUAAUCACAUAGAAUUGUAUAGACUUGAGAAUAUAUUGCUAGUCAAAACAGUUACAUGAGCCGUGCCAUGAGAAAACCAACAUAGUGGCUUUGCGACCAGCAUGGAUCCAGACCAGCCUGCACAUCUGCGCAGUCUGGUCAGGAUCGGUGCUGUUCGCUUUCAAAGCCUAAUGGAAUUAGUGAAACUAAUAGCGAACAGCAUGGAUCCAGACCAGACUGCACAUUUGCGCAGGCUGGUCUGGAUUCAUGCUGGUUCCAAACCCACUAUGUUGGUUUUCUCAUGACACGGCUCAUAUCAAUGAUUGCUCACUUUGAAUUUGCCAGUUUUGUUUUAUAUGCUGAUUUAAGAUAAAGUUUAUCACAUUUUUAGCACGACUUUACAAAAUAUAUAGAGAACUAUCCUACUUGCACCGGCAUUGACUUGACAUUCAUAUCCACACAUCUUGGUUAAAAUUUUGAUGCAGUCUCUUUGUGACUAUGUGCUUCAAACUUAAAAUAGUUGUUCCUUAUCAUCAUCCACAUCAUAUUGGCAUAAGGGUUAUCACUCUGGCACUAGUAUUUCAUGAAUUAAUUCUUUUUUUACAAAAAAAUUCUGGAUCAGGUUUUGAUGCACUUUUACUCUAUCUCUGUUAUUUGACUCAAACUUGAACGGUUAUUCAACAUCAUCAUCCACAUUUAGGGGUAUUUAUAACUCCAGUGAUUGCUCUAAUUUCCUCAGAUAUACCCAAUAUCACUACCAAGCAUUGAAAUAGUCGAGUGCGCUGUCUCCUCAGUCAACUCUUGUUAGUUUGACUAAAUACUUCGGGAAUAAAAAAGUUUGGGAAUAUUUUUUUCAUUGUUUUUGAUGCUAUAUUUGCUAGACUCACCACAUAGAGACUCUAUUAGAAACUGUUGGUGAUCUUUCAUUAUGUAUCAUAAUGUGUUAGGACUGUAAAUUUUACUGUUUACUGAGAAUUGCAUACAGCUAUUUAAAAUGGGGAGUAAUUUUUUUUAAUCCAUUUUUUUUUGCUUUGAUUCAAGCAUGAAACAUACUUUUGUAAACAUUAUCAUGUUACUGAAUUUUGACUGAAUUGCCAAAGUUCUAGGUAUGCUUUUGUAUUAUGCAUAAUAUAACCUUUUAUUAAAAUGCUUUUGUUUUAAAACAAACCUUCAUUGUAAAUAGUGCUUUUUGAUAUGUAGCAGGGAUUUUGAGAUUAUAUUGUUACUUGUUAUUAUUUGAAUAAUGCAUAGAAGAAUGUUACUAUGUAGAUGUUUGGCUUAUACAGUUUUAAUAAAUUGGUAUUUUAGUAAAAAAAAAUGUAAGAAGGAAAUCCUUAGAUUAGGAAUUGGUGUAAGCAGUGCAAUGUUUAUAGAAUACGAACAUGUACAUGUAAGAAGGGAAUUCAUAGAUAUGGCGUGUAAGAAGUACAAUGUAUGUAGAAUGUGAAUAUAUACACAUAAGAAGGGAAUCCCUAGUUGUGGCAUUGGUGUAAGCAGAUAGAUGAAUGUUGAAUGUUAAAAAGAAAAUUCUUAAAUCAGGUAUUAGUGUAAGCAGUACAAUUUACGUAGAAUGUGAACAUUUACAUGCAAGAAGGGAAUCCUUGGAUCAGGGUUGGUGUAAGCAGUAUAAUGUAUGUUCCUAUAUGUGAAAGUAAGGAUCCUCAGAUAGGGAAAUGUUGUAGCAGUACUGUGUAUGUAGAAUAUAAAUAUACAUGGAAGAAGGGGAUCUCUAGACCAAGGAUUGGUGAAAGCAGUGGAGUGUAUGUUGAAACUUCUUUCCUCAAAUUUCAAGGAAACAGGCAUUGUAUUUUGAGAUAACUUCUAUUCAGAUUUAAAAUUAUAUUUGCUGAUGGUGUUUCUCACUACAAAUGUUGUGGUAAUCUCCUAUAUAUGUACAUGUUAACAUUACACAUACAUUUUUAUAUACAUUUAGAGUACAUAGCAAUUUGAAAUGCUUUUUGUUCCUUGUUUUUGUUUAUUUCAUAUUUGCAAUGCAAAAUCUUGCUACUUGGAUUCAUCAAGUCACAAGUAUGUAAGAAUCUGGCUAACAGGGCCUCAGAAAUACUUUGACAUAAAAUAAGUUGCAUUUUGUCAAAUUUGACUUUAGCGGAGUGAAAACAGAAACAUUAAGAAGGAACUAUAACAGAAUUUGGAGGAAAAAAAUGGUUAAGAUACCGGUAGUCGAAAUUUCAAGACAGUAAAGUUUCAACUGUACAUUUAUUAGCAUUUGAGUUAUCAAAACACAGAAUGAUGUUAAUAUCAACAGACCUUCAUUUACAGUUUGAGAGAGUUCAAGCAAAAGCUUAUUAUACAAUGGCAGUGUAAGUACUGUUUUCACCAACCGAAAUCUUUACUUUCUCAAUGUUGCCAUGUAGAUAGUUUGUUACGAGUGCUGGUUUUUAAUCAUUUAGUUUUGCUUAGCGCAACUUUUUGGGGCUAAUUUUUUAUCUGCUACAUAAACAUUAUUUAUUUUGUUUUGAAUUGUGUAAAAAAUACAAUAUUUUACAUUCAUGAUAUUAAGUUGAAGUAAAUCUUCUGUUAUUUUGCCAGGAAGCGAACUUGCCAGUAAAUGUGUGUGUGUAUGCUUGCAUAAUCCAGUUGUUUCAUUAUUUUGUUUGCAUUUAUAAAAAAUAAUAAACCAUUUAAAAAUAGCAUGGAAAUAUUUUCCGUAUUUCGUCAGAAUGGAAAUAUUUUCCAUAUUUCGUCAGAAAUAUUUUCUGUAUUUCGUCAGAAUGGAAAUAUUUUCCAUAUUUCGUUAGAAAUGUGCACGAGUACAAAUUUUCCUAGGUAUUUUAGUUGUGUUAGGGUAAUGCCUUGAGAUUAGGAUAAAAACUUCAAUCAUUAAAAAAACAAAAAGUAAGGUAUUUUAACUCUUAAAAAUUUCUAAUUGGUAUUAUUUUAUUUAAAUUGUGACAAUGUUGUUUUCUCAGCGGAUUGUUUACAGAUCAUCAAAAUUGCUGGAGUAAGAUGAUACUCGGCAUGCUUGAUAUUUAGUGUAAAAUGAUGACUAAAAUCACAAUUUUAUGUUUUGUAUUUUUGACAAUCUUACAUCUGUGUUCAUUUUUCAUGUGUAACAUUGAUAUAAUUUUUCAGGUUGUUUUUAAAUCCAUAUAACACAAAGGGGUUAUUUAUUUCACAUUCAAGAACAGUGUCCUAAAUGUCUGAAGAAAUCUUUCGACAUUGUUGUCAGUGGAACAAAAUAGAAAACUGGUCAGUCUGAACAUGUUGUUCCCAACAUUCCAGAACACUGUUCUACUUGACCGGUAUUUAUUUGAAUAGGAACAUGUUCAGAAAACUUCGAAUUCUGUUAGUAAAGGGGAAUUUUAAGUGGUAAGCUGUUGAAUUUUGGGUCGAGUAUUUCAAAAAGAAGGUAUUUUAAAAAAAGGUAUUUUUAAAGAAAAAUAGUUUGACAUUUUAUAUGUCUUACCCAAUUACAUUAUUGUUACUGUAGUUUUUUAACAGCUAUCUGUCAUGUAUCUGGUGUAAAAAUUGAGUUGAAUAUUCAAGCUGGAUAAUAAAACUGAUAUUUGAUGAAGUUAGUUAUAUAUGCUAGCAUUUUUCCAUGAAGUGAGGUAUGGUGUAUUUAAGACAAUUCUUAUUUUUUUUUUGUUUGUAUUUGUUUUGUAGCUAUAUAACAGACAGUUUUAAAUUGAAACUCAGUAUGAUUUUGCCAGUAAAUUUUGUUUCUUAUAUGAUUAUUUUAUGUUACUACACCUGCUUUCUGGGUGUGCAAUGUUAUAUAAAAUACAAUCAUUUUUUAGCCGAUUAUGCUCCAUGUUGUACAUGUAUGUUUAAGAUUAAAUUGGUCAUACGUAGUGUUAAGUUUAAGUGUACUUGUGAUGGUUUCAUUUAAAAUCAUUUAGCAUACCAGUUCAUUUUUGUUCAGUUUAGAGGAAGCUCUGCUGUUUGACGCACAUUGAAAUGUUUAAUUUGCAUUUCAUCGACUAUAAAAUGUUUAAUGGGCAGUAAAAUCCCAGGAAGUCUUCCUGUUAUUGUCUGGCUUCAUUUCCUUGGCUUACUGCGAAAAAGAUUCAGAAUAUAAAGAAAGAUACUGAAUUUAGUACCAAAUUACAGUACUUAAGCAUGGCUCUGUAUGACCUAGAAAAAAUGUACUGAUGGUAGAAACAUAUUGUAGUACCAGGUUUCCGUAACUUAAGGGACAUGAUUAUUGUGUAUAAAUGUGUUAUGUUAGUUGAAGAUUGUUUGUGGCUGGAACAUAUUGUUUCGCAUAUAGUUGUGUAUGUUAGUUGGUUUGUGGCUGGAACAUAAUGUUUUGCAUAUAACUGUGUAUGUUGGUUUCUGGCUGGAACAUGAUUGUUUUGCAUAUAUUGUAUACAUUUUAUGAAAAUGGUUUGUGGCUAGAACAUAUUGUUUUGCAAAUAAACUGUGUAUGUAAGUUGAAGACUGUUUUUAGCCGAAAUAUAUUGUUUUGCAUAAAAUUUGUGUACGAGAAGUUGCUGUUAGAUAUGUUAUGUUUUUCAGUAUUUGAUACAAUGCUUUUUGAUACUCUGAUGCCAUUUAAAUAAGGAUCUGUAUUACAUUGCUUGCAUUCCAAAGAGGUCAUAAUAAAACUAUGAAAACUAAA